AUGAGGGAAAUCGUGCUCACGCAGACCGGGCAGUGCGGGAACCAGAUCGGGGCCAAGUUCUGGGAGGUGAUCUCUGAUGAACAUGCCAUCGACUCCGCUGGCACCUACCACGGGGACAGCCACCUGCCGCUGGAGCGCGUCAACGUGCACCACCGCGAGGCCAGCGGUGGCAGGUACGUGCCUCGCGCUGUGCUCGUGGAUCUGGAGCCGGGCACCAUGGACUCCGUGCGCUCGGGGCCCUUCGGGCAGGUCUUCAGGCCAGACAACUUCAUUUCCCGUGAGCUGCGGGCGAGGACUGGGGUGCGGCUCCUUAGCCAGGGCAGCUCAAAAUCCAGGAACGCUCCAAGGUCAUCCUGUGGGAACUGUGGCGCCAGGGCCCCUGAACACCCUCCUGUCCUCCGAGUCGAGUCGCUCAAUCUGCCUCUCUUAAACGGGCUUCGGGAGGAAGGCCCGGGUGUCUUCUCAAGGUCAGUGUGGGGCCGGAAACAACUGGGCCAAGGGACGCUACACCGAAGGCGCGGAGCUGAUGGAGUCAGUGAUGGACGUUGUCAGAAAGGAGGCUGAGAGCUGUGACUGCCUGCAGGGUUUCCAGCUGACCCACUCCCUGGGUGGGGGGACUGGGUCUGGGAUGGGUACCCUUCUCAUUAGUAAGAUCCGGGAGGAGUACCCAGACAGGAUUAUAAACACAUUGAGCAUCCUGCUCUUGCCCAAGGUGUCAGACACGGUGGUGGAGCCCUACAACGCCACCCUCUCAGUCCACCAGCUCAUAGAAAACGCAGAUGAGACCUUCUGCAUAGAUAACGAAGCGCUAUAUGACAUAUGUUCCAAGACCCUAAAACUGCCCACACCCAUCUAUGGUGACCUGAACCACCUGGUGUCUGCUACCAUGAGUUGGGGUCACCACGUACCUGCGCUUCCCGGGCCAGCUGAAUGCUGACCUGAGGAAGCUGGCCGUGAACAUGGUCCCGUUUCCCCGGCUGCAUUUCUUCAUGCCCGGCUUUGCCCCACUGACCAGCCGGGGCAGCCAGCAGUACCGGGCCUUGACUGUGGCUGAGCUCACCCAGCAGAUGUUUGAUGCUAAGAACAUGAUGGCUGCCUGUGACCCCCGUCAUGGCCGCUACCUAACGGUGGCUGCCAUUUUCAGGGGUCGCAUGCCCAUGAGGGAGGUGGAUGAACAGAUGUUCAACAUUCAAGAUAAGAACAGCAGCUACUUUGCUGACUGGCUCCCCAACAACGUAAAAACAGCCGUCUGUGACAUCCCACUCCGGGGGCUAAAAAUGUCAGCCACCUUCAUUGGGAAUAAUACGGCCAUCCAGGAACUCUUCACAUGUGUCUCAGAGCAGUUUACAGCAAUGUUCAGGCGCAAGGCCUUCCUCCACUGGUACACAGGCGAGGGCAUGGAUGAGAUGGAAUUCACCGAGGCCGAGAGCAACAUGAAUGACCUGGUGUCUGAAUAUCAGCAAUAUCAGGAUGCCACGGCCGAGGAGGAGGAUGAGGAGUAUGCCGAGGAGGAGGUGGCCUAG
RNAcentral lists this long non-coding RNA (1523 nucleotides) under Homo sapiens (human). Its description in RNAcentral is "novel transcript". The record is from RNAcentral. Lineage: Eukaryota; Metazoa; Chordata; Mammalia; Primates; Hominidae.